CUACCUUCAAAUCGGGGAUAACAUUGCGAAAGCGAUGCUAAUACCGGAUGAUAUCUAAUGGGCUUUGGUUCAUAAGAUCAAGGGGGGCCUCUAUAUAUAAGCUUCCGUUUGAAGAUGAGCCCGCGUACCAUUAGCUAGUUGGUAGGGUAAAAGCCUACCAAGGCAACGAUGGUUAGCUGGUCUGAGAGGAUGAUCAGCCACACUGGAACUGACACACGGUCCAG
RNAcentral lists this ribosomal RNA (224 nucleotides) under uncultured bacterium. RNAcentral describes it as "partial 16S ribosomal RNA". It matches the Rfam family "Bacterial small subunit ribosomal RNA", at positions 126 to 334 of the family's 1533-position model. The record is from RNAcentral.